Molecule: ribosomal RNA, 303 nt
Filed under: uncultured bacterium
Lineage: Bacteria
Description: bacterial SSU rRNA
Rfam family: Bacterial small subunit ribosomal RNA
Source: RNAcentral
UGGGGAAUAUUGGGCAAUGGGCGGAAGCCUGACCCAGCAACGCCGCGUGAAGGAUGAAGGUCCUCGGAUUGUAAACUUCUUUUGUCAGGGACGAAGCAAGUGACGGUACCUGACGAAUAAGCCACGGCUAACUACGUGCCAGCAGCCGCGGUAAUACGUAGGUGGCAAGCGUUAUCCGGAUUUACUGGGUGUAAAGGGCGUGUAGGCGGGGAAGCAAGUCAGAUGUGAAAACUAUGGGCUCAACCCAUAGCCUGCAUUUGAAACUGUUUUUCUUGAGUGCUGGAGAGGCAAUCGGAAUUCCGU